CAUUCUCUAGGCCAGCCUUUGGCUCACUUCCUCAGGGCAACUGCUAAAGUUCCUGAUGCUCAGAUCAUUACCGAGCAUCCAGCCAAGAGGGUCGGAAUUGUGUUUUCUGGAAGGCAGGCUCCUGG
Camelina sativa (false flax) is the source of this 125-nucleotide non-coding RNA. The record is from RefSeq and is a predicted model, not a curated record. NCBI's taxonomy places the organism in Eukaryota, Viridiplantae, Streptophyta, Magnoliopsida, Brassicales, Brassicaceae.